UACAAGUUUUAAUAUAAUAUUUUUAUUUUCUUGCCUCCUACAAUUCAGACCAGUUCUAUGUAAUUUGAAUAUACCCUGAAGAGACUAACUUGGUCACAUGAUUCCCUCUGCCAUAGGUCAGCCACCUUCAAAGCAGCGCUUGGCGGGAGUACAUCAGCCAGAAGGGUGGGCAACAUCAGAGUGAGCAGCAAGAGAGAUCUGUGCUUCCUCCAAAUACUUGAGGAGGUGGAGAAAAUAUCUUGAGAUCUUCAGGGAAAAGUAUGAAGACAAAAGCCAUAUCCCAUAAGUGUCUGAGGAACAGAUAGAUGCCACCUGGGUCCCUGAUAUUACUAAAACAUCACAUCGACCUACUUACCUGUAGCUUCUUAUAAGGUAAAACAAAAACAGAAACAAAACUCCCUGUUUAAUCCACCAAGAUUAAAC
Molecule: long non-coding RNA, 423 nt
Filed under: Mustela putorius furo (domestic ferret)
Lineage: Eukaryota; Metazoa; Chordata; Mammalia; Carnivora; Mustelidae
Description: lncRNA (ENSMPUG00000027017.1)
Source: RNAcentral